GAUGAACGCUGGCGGCGUGCCUAAUACAUGCAAGUCGAGCGAACGGACGAGAAGCUUGCUUUUCUGAUGUUAGCGGCGGACGGGUGAGUAACACGUGGAUAACCUACCUAUAAGACUGGGAUAACUUCGGGAAACCGGAGCUAAUACCGGAUAAUAUUUUGAACCGCAUGGUUCAAAAGUGAAAGACGGUCUUGCUGUCACUUAUAGAUGGAUCCGCGCUGCAUUAGCUAGUUGGUAAGGUAACGGCUUACCAAGGCAACGAUGGAUAGCCGACCUGAGAGGGUGAUCGGCCACACUGGAACUGAGACACGGUCCAGACUCCUACGGGAGGCAGCAGUAGGGAAUCUUCCGCAAUGGGCGAAAGCCUGACGGAGCAACGCCGCGUGAGUGAUGAAGGUCUUCGGAUCGUAAAACUCUGUUAUUAGGGAAGAACAUAUGUGUAAGUAACUGUGCACAUCUUGACGGUACCUAAUCAGAAAGACACGGCUAACUACGUG
Molecule: ribosomal RNA, 497 nt
Filed under: uncultured bacterium
Lineage: Bacteria
Description: partial 16S ribosomal RNA
Rfam family: Bacterial small subunit ribosomal RNA
Source: RNAcentral